GGUCAUUUUAAAUUUUAUAGUCAAAUUUUUGUUUUUCUUUUUGGAACUCAAAAUUUCUCCGUUUGUGUUCCAGAAUAAAUUAACAGCAUACAGGUUUUGAAGAGGGUGAGUAAAUAAUGACAGUAUUUUCUUUCAGUGUUUUAAAGUGACCUUUAAAUGUUAAGCAGGCACACAUUUACCAACCCACUUUGACAUGUCUUCGCAGAACGCCGUCUGAGGAGACACAAGCUCAGCAUUGACUGAUCUGGCAGGAGUGAUCGGGACUUUCAAGUGGAUGCCGAAGUGUUUCAAUAUCCUUCUAUUGUCAUGAGCCUGCGUCACAACCAAGGAUGGAGAUGGGAUCGAGUUGGAGCUGGCUAUUAAACCGCAGGCUUGAUUAGAGGAUGAUGGAAUUGUCCUGCAGCAAAAUGGGGAAAUGCUCAAGAGCUCCACUUCCCACUCUCAGGUACUACGGGAAAUCUGCCCGUAGAAGCUGCUGAAGUACUCCACUGAUUUCUGAUCUUUAGAGACUCAACAUGUCGCACUGUUGGUAAUGUAAUGUAUCUUUAAUUUUUUGUCUCACGCUCCCUCUCUCUUUCCUUCUAUUAUGUGUCUUCCUAUGCAACUGUUUUCUGUUUGUCAACACAAAAGUGAAAAAAAAAACAGCUGCUUCGUGUGAGAUCUGAUCAGGCCUCAGUAAAUCGUGAGCAAGAGGGCAUGACAGAUAGUGAAAGAGAGAAACCGCUUAUGAAAACCAGCCUUGUGUGAACAGCAUCCAGAUCCAUCCUGGUAAUUUGACUAAUAAGCAGGACAAACAGAGAAUUUGUUUUACUCAC
Long non-coding RNA from Cyprinus carpio (common carp), 815 nucleotides. The record is from Ensembl. Lineage: Eukaryota; Metazoa; Chordata; Actinopteri; Cypriniformes; Cyprinidae.